GAAGCCAUUUCUGAGCAGCAAAAACUCAAGGAUGUGAAUGCAGCUUUAACGAGCGCUUGCCAGUUGCUUCAGGAAAAGAUGGAAGAGCAAAAAGCACUGUAGAUGAAGAAUCUGAAUAUAGCCUGCUGCCCACAUCAACUGAGCCUGUAAAAGGGAAGCAGCUCCACUGCUCUAAACAGUGGAGUGAGGGACCCAGCUUCUGCACUGAACCUCUCAAGACGCGACCCUCAGAUAUUUCAUGCUGGUGUCUUACACCCCUGCUAGAUGCUCUGACCUUGGAAACCUCAUGCCCAAAUAACUCUCCUGUGCCCAUCUGGCAUCCCCGCUAUAAGUGGAGCUCUGGCAGCUGCACAUCUGAGAAUUGCAGUCUGGGACAUGGGUCCACUCUGGAUGUGACAUCAAUUGGGUGGAAGUGGAAAAUAUGCUCUGCUGGUAACUGUACUGAUGCAG
Molecule: long non-coding RNA, 450 nt
Filed under: Apteryx owenii (little spotted kiwi)
Lineage: Eukaryota; Metazoa; Chordata; Aves; Apterygiformes; Apterygidae
Description: lncRNA (ENSAOWG00000007348.1)
Source: RNAcentral